Molecule: long non-coding RNA, 754 nt
Organism: Venturia canescens
Lineage: Eukaryota; Metazoa; Arthropoda; Insecta; Hymenoptera; Ichneumonidae
Exons: 2
Source: RefSeq, a predicted model, not a curated record
UGAAACUGCAAUACGGGUACUUGACGUCCGCGCGAUUGAGCAUGGUUGAAAAACACUUUGGAAGGAAAUUUAACAGCAUAAGCGAGCUGAACGAAGAUAUUGCUGUCAUAACACAAAAACGUCAAGGCAUUCGUGACCCACGGAGGCCUAGGCCAUCGCGUAUGAAGUUCCUAUGAUUCAUAUACCAAUUUUCAGUGACCAAAAUUUGAAUGAACGACCACCCCUGUGUGAAAAGGAGAAUUGGCGUCACGCUGGAUCAUCGCAAAAUAACGACCGAUACGUUUACAGAAGCAGUUAAAAAAAUCCUCGAUGAUCCGAUCUACAGGCGAGCACAUUUUCACCAUCCGAAGAAAGUUCACCCAAAGCAAUUGAGAAAUUAUAGUUUUUAUAUCUUUGAUUUCUACAGCGAGAAUGCAAAACGAGUGUCAAAGUUAUGAACCGAUCGUCCAAUGAGCGCAAAUUACAGUGAAAUCCAAAAAGAACGAAUGAUUGGAACUUCCAUAAUCGUCACUGCAGUACAAGCUGAAUGAAUAAAAAAUAAGAGUGAUUCCAUCCCGCAGUUUAUUCCACAAACAGAAGAACAAAAUACUCCAAGUUUGAGAAUUUUGGCACCAAGCUGAUGAAAAAUAAUCGAUUUCUGUAGUUUAAACGAAUCGUUUAAUUAAUUCGAUAAAAUAUCGAUUAUAGAGUUGCUCAUCGGGUUAUACAAUUAUCGGAAUAAAUUUCUCCUUCCGAGGUUCUACGUAUCAAGAAA